AAACGUACGCCUGGCGGCACGCCUAACACAUGCAAGUCGAAACGAAAGUAGCAAUACUUAGUGGCAGACGGGUGAGUAACAUGUAGGUAUCUGCCCUUUGGCCUGGAAUAACACGAGGAAACUUCGUGCUAAUACCGGAAUAAGUCUUUACGGAGAAAGCUUUAUGCACCAUUGGAUGAGCCUGCACUUGAUUAGUUUGUUGGUGGGGUAAUGGCCUACCAAGACUGUGAUCAAUAGCUGAUUUGAGAGGAUGAUCAGCCACAUUGGGACUGAGACACGGCCCAAACUCCUACGGGAGGCAGCAGUGGGGAAUCUUGCACAAUGGAGGAAACUCUGAUGCAGCGAUGCCGCGUGAGUGAAGAAGGCCCUUGGGUUGUAAAGCUCUUUCGUCGGGGAAGAAAAUGACUGUACCCGAAUAAGAAGGUCCGGCUAACUUCGUGCCAGCAGCCGCGGUAAUACGAAGGGACCUAGCGUAGUUCGGAAUUACUGGGCUUAAAGAGUUCGUAGGUGGUUGAAAAAGUUAGUGGUGAAAUCCCAGAGCUUAACUCUGGAACUGCCAUUAAAACUUUUCAGCUAGAGUAUGAUAGAGGAAAGCAGAAUUUCUAGUGUAGAGGUGAAAUUCGUAGAUAUUAGAAAGAAUACCAAUUGCGAAGGCAGCUUUCUGGAUCAUUACUGACACUGAGGAACGAAAGCAUGGGUAGCGAAGAGGAUUAGAUACCCUCGUAGUCCAUGCCGUAAACGAUGUGUGUUAGACGUUGGAAAUUUAUUUUCAGUGUCGCAGGGAAACCGAUAAACACACCGCCUGGGGAGUACGACCGCAAGGUUAAAACUCAAAUGAAUUGACGGGGACCCGCACAAGUAGUGGAGCAUGUGGUUUAAUUCGAAGAUACGCGCAGAACCUUACCAACACUUGACAUGUUCGUCGCGACUCUAAGAGAUUAGAGUUUUCGGUUCGGCCGGACGAAACACAGGUGCUGCAUGGCUGUCGUCAGCUCGUGUCGUGAGAUGUUGGGUUAAGUCCCGCAACGAGCGCAACCCUCACUUUUAGUUGCCAUCAUUAAGUUGGGCACUCUGAAAGAACUGCCAGUGAUAAGCUGGAGGAAGGUGGGGAUGACGUCAAGUCCUCAUGGCCCUUACGUGUUGGGCUACACACGUGCUACAAUGGUAUCUACAACAGGAAGCAAGACUGCGAAGUUAAGCAAAUCCCUAAAAGAUACCUCAGUUCGGAUUGCACUCUGCAACUCGAGUGCAUGAAGCUGGAAUUACUAGUAAUCGUGGAAUCAGCGUGCCACGGUGAAAUGCGUUUCCCGGGUCU
RNAcentral lists this ribosomal RNA (1315 nucleotides) under uncultured bacterium. RNAcentral describes it as "bacterial SSU rRNA". It matches the Rfam family "Bacterial small subunit ribosomal RNA", at positions 26 to 1381 of the family's 1533-position model. The record is from RNAcentral.